UACAGAGGUCCCAAGCGUUGUUCGGAUUCACUGGGCGUAAAGGGUGCGUAGGCGGUCGGGUAAGUCUGACGUGAAAUCUCCAAGCUCAACUUGGAAAUGGCGUCGGAUACUAUUCGGCUUGAGGAAUGGAAGGGAGACUGGAAUUUACGGUGUAGCAGUGAAAUGCGUAGAUAUCGUAAGGAAGACCAGUGGCGAAGGCGAGUCUCUGGACAGUUACCGACGCUGAGGCACGAAGGUCAGGGGAGCAAACGGG
RNAcentral lists this ribosomal RNA (253 nucleotides) under uncultured bacterium. RNAcentral describes it as "partial 16S ribosomal RNA". It matches the Rfam family "Bacterial small subunit ribosomal RNA", at positions 524 to 776 of the family's 1533-position model. The record is from RNAcentral.